AUAUAUAUAUAGGCACAAAACCAAAAACUCAUCUUUAAUAUGAACCUAACAGAUUUACUUCCAUAAUUAUAUGUUAGAACUUAAUACAUGUAGUGCAAGCAAAAUUCCCACAUAAAACUAGAAGAUUUUAGAUUUGAUAUUUGAACAAUGAAUACUUAAAGUCAUUCUUUCCCCUUUCUUCCAGCAAGGCCCUUGGUUUAUAUGCCAACAUAUAAUUGUAUGAUAAACCUUACAAGAGUGGAAUCGACAAUUUUUUGACUAUCAUCAGAUCUCACCAUUUUUUUGUCAAUUUCUACAAUUGUUUAUGUUGUGCAAUGAUGAAUUUGAGGUAAAUUCUUACCCAAAUCCUGGAAAAUCAAUUUCGAACCAUCUGAUUAGGUCUUGUGCUUUUGUUUAGAUUUUUUAAAACAAAUUAACAUACAGUUGACUUAAUAUGGAAAAGAUAUCAUAAUGAAGGAAUGAUACUUUAAUCCGUGACUGGAUAAGGUAGCAACACAAUAUCCAAUAUUCAUCAAAAGAAUCUAUACCCUGAACCACCACC
Molecule: long non-coding RNA, 541 nt
Filed under: Phoenix dactylifera (date palm)
Lineage: Eukaryota; Viridiplantae; Streptophyta; Magnoliopsida; Arecales; Arecaceae
Description: long non-coding RNA (PDAC_LNC018002)
Source: RNAcentral